Molecule: ribosomal RNA, 253 nt
Filed under: uncultured bacterium
Lineage: Bacteria
Description: partial 16S ribosomal RNA
Rfam family: Bacterial small subunit ribosomal RNA
Source: RNAcentral
UACAGAGGGGGCAAGCGUUGUUCGGAAUUACUGGGCGUAAAGGGCGCGUAGGCGGCCGGCUAAGUCGAACGUGAAAUCCCCGGGCUCAACCCGGGAACUGCGUCCGAUACUGGUCGGCUUGAAUUCGGGAGAGGGAUGCGGAAUUCCAGGUGUAGCGGUGAAAUGCGUAGAUAUCUGGAGGAACACCGGUGGCGAAGUCGGCAUCCUGGACCGACAUUGACGCUGAGGCGCGAAAGCCAGGGGAGCAAACGGG